GACAGAGGUGCCAAGCGUUAGGCGGAAUCACUGGGCUUAAAGCGUGUGUAGGCGGAUCGUUAAGUACCUUGUGAAAUCCCACGGCUCAACCGUGGAACUGCUGGGUAUACUGGCGAUCUUGAGCCACCUAGGGGCGAGCGGAACAAACGGUGGAGCGGUGAAAUGCGUAGAUAUCGUGUGGAACGCCAACGGUGAAAACAGCUCGCUGGGGGUGUGCUGACGCUGAGACACGAAAGCCAGGGGAGCGAACGGG
Molecule: ribosomal RNA, 253 nt
Filed under: uncultured bacterium
Lineage: Bacteria
Description: partial 16S ribosomal RNA
Rfam family: Bacterial small subunit ribosomal RNA
Source: RNAcentral